RNAcentral lists this ribosomal RNA (520 nucleotides) under uncultured Glomus. RNAcentral describes it as "SSU rRNA". It matches the Rfam family "Eukaryotic small subunit ribosomal RNA", at positions 569 to 1092 of the family's 1831-position model. Lineage: Eukaryota; Fungi; Glomeromycota; Glomeromycetes; Glomerales; Glomeraceae. The record is from RNAcentral.
AGCAGCCGCGGUAAUUCCAGCUCCAAUAGCGUAUAUUAAAGUUGUUGCAGUUAAAAAGCUCGUAGUUGAAUUUCGGGGUCAGUAGUUUGGUCGUGCCACUGGUAUGUACUGGGCUCACUGAUUCCUCCUUCCUGAUGAACUGUAAUGCCAUUAAUUUGGUGUUGCGGGGAAACUGGACUGUUACUUUGAAAAAAUUAGAGUGUUUAAAGCAAGCUAACGCUUGAAUACAUUAGCAUGGAAUAAUGAAAUAGGACGUUCGAUCCUAUUUUGUUGGUUUCUAGGAUUGACGUAAUGAUUAAUAGGGAUAGUUGGGGGCAUUAGUAUUCAAUUGUCAGAGGUGAAAUUCUUGGAUUUAUUGAAGACUAACUACUGCGAAAGCAUUUGCCAAGGAUGUUUUCAUUAAUCAAGAACGAAAGUUAGGGGAUCGAAGACGAUCAGAUACCGUCGUAGUCUUAACCAUAAACUAUGCCGACUAGGGAUCGGAUGAUGUAAUUUUUAAUGACUCAUUCGGCGCCUUAAC